Long non-coding RNA from Oncorhynchus tshawytscha (Chinook salmon), 2571 nucleotides. Lineage: Eukaryota; Metazoa; Chordata; Actinopteri; Salmoniformes; Salmonidae. The record is from Ensembl.
GGAUAGCCAGGGGCCACUCCAACACUCAGACAUCAUUUACAGAUAGCCAGGGGCCACUCCAACACUCAGACAUCAUUUACAGAUAGCCAGGGGCCACUCCAACACUCAGACAUCAUUUACAUAUAGCCAGGGGCCACUCCAACACUCAGACAUCAUUUACAUAUAGCCAGGGGCCACUCCAACACUCAGACAUCAUUUACAAACAAAGCAUUUGUGUUGAGUGAGUCCGCCAGAUCAGAGGCAUUAUGGAUGACCAGGGACGUUCUUUUUAACUUGGAUCAACAUUGACUCUUCAAGCCACACAUACCGUCCCUGCUGUGUCUAACCUAGUACAGACCAUUACCAGUCAUUCUGACGACACAACUGGUAACACAACACCACCAGUCACAACAACCUUAAUCCAGAAUACUGUCUCCAAGGAAACAACUGAGACAGACCAUAAGAACAUCAUAACCUCUCACAAAGAUACCCAAACUCUGAUCGCCCAUUUGAAGGUCUCUAUAGUUUCGGCUGGGGACAUAAGUAAGGAGGAGAUCAUUGAGGCGUUGCAUCAUUUUGCAGCGCAGGUCCAAGCCUUUCUACAGAGAGAGUACUGUAACAACUGCACACUGCGCAUCAGAAACGUCAGAGGAAUAUGAGACCAACAUUUAAUCCAAAACAUGUCUCUACACUAACCCAAAGAAUCUUAUGAGAUUCCUGGAACUAACCCUCUUCAUAUAACUCUAAUAUAGUCUGGACCCCACAGAAAAACCUACAUCUGAAAAUCAACAAUGCCAGUUUAAGCUUUUCAGUCAUUUUGAUUUUGGUUCAGUCUUUUCAGAAGAAUUAAAUCUAUGGUCUAUUAAUUGUAGCCUAUAUUUAUAUUUAACUUUAUUUAGGAAUGUUGGUCAGUUUAGCAUAUGGACAUAUUGUAUUCUAGGUUUAUAAUGCUGUUCAGUCAUUUGUCACAAGGAGGCAGUAUAACUGUUUCAUUAUCCAACAGAAGCACAGUAAAAGAGGCUUUCCAACACAGUCAAAAAUGCACUUUCAUAAGUGACUUUCAAAAAAUGUGUUUUUGUCACAAUAAUAUUUUCCAUCUAAAAACACCAAAAAAGCUGUAAUACAACAGCUAUUUCCAAUUUAUAUACUAGACAUUGUUUAAAAACAAAUAGGUAAAGAUGCCUCUAAAGGGGCACUAUACACCUGUUGGCUGCAAAACAAAAGUUAUUUUGGAAAAUCUGCGCAACAACGGAUUGUCAAUAUAUAUCCUGUAUAUACUGUGUGUGUGUGUAUAUAUAUUAGUGUAUAUAUAUAUAUACACACACAUAUAUAUACACAUACAGUGGGGAGAACAAGUAUUUGAUACACUGCCGAUUUUGCAGUUUUUCCUACUUACAAAGCAUGUAGAGGUCUGUAAUUUUUAUCAUAGGUACACUUCAACUGUGAGAGACGGAAUCUAAAACAAAAAUCCAGAAAAUCACAUUGUAUGAUUUCAAGUAAUUCAUUUUCAUUUCACAAAUCACCUUAAUAAUGUUUACAUAUUUUACAUUACUCAUCUCAUAUGUAUAUCUUGUAUUCUAUUCUACUGUAUUUUAGUCUAUGCCACUCCGACAUUGUUCGUCCAAAUAUUUAUAUAUUCUUAAUUCCAUUCCUUUACUUUGGAUGUGUGUGUAUUGUGUGUAUUGUUGUGAAAUUGUUAUAUAUUACUUGUUAGCUAUUACUGCACUGUUGGAGCUAGAAACACAAGCAUUUCCCUACACCCACAAUAACAUCUGAUAAACAUGUGUAUGUGACCAAUCACAUUUGAUUUGAUUUGAUUUGAUUUGAGAAAGUGAUAUUGACUCAGAAAAGGUUGGUGACCACUGGCUGACGGGGUAGCCAAUAUGUAACUUGAGUGAACUAUCCCAUGAACACAUAAUGGGGGUCUUUAAAAAGUAAUCACCUAAUAGCAGGAACAGCACCAUCUAGUGGUCAGAACUUGGUAACAUUAGGAUGUGGGAUGGGACAUAAAUCCAACAACUUCAAUGACAAAUUUCUCUGAACAGGGGAAAAAAAACAUCACCAAAUUCACUGAGAAUACAUUACACGGGAUGAAAAGACAAUACUCUGAGCCGCAGCUCCAUACUACUUGUCAAACAUAGAGAACUGAUACUCAUUGUUUGGGUGGGAUUGGCUUGGGGGAUUCCGUGGGGGGCUUUUGACAAUUUCUUUGGAUUCCUCCUGUCUAACUCAUUGUUAGAGACAAGUUUGGCCCAAAUCAGAUGUUACAUAUUAUAUUUAUUCAAUUUUAUAUGAAUCCUGUAAAUUAAAAUGGCUAAUUUGGGUGUAGUCAAUUAGUUUAAUUUCUCAGAGAUUAAAUUAUAUUUCAACAAAAUAAUGUUGUUGCAAUGCUAAUCUUAUCUGUUUCUAACAACAGAAACGAUUUCAGAACAAUCUGAGAUGUUGGGUGUUGAAAUCAUCUUUCUUGUGCUUUUUCAGGUGAAACGACCCCUGUAUGAUUUGGCACCUCAAAUGCAAUUACUCUUUAUGUCUUUAUUGUUCUUUAUUUCAUAUGCACAUAUUAAUUGCUGUAUAAUGAUAGCAAACUGUGAC